GGAAAUGGUGUUGAGAAACUGCAACACUGAAAGAACGUGACUGUGAUUGCAAUGAGAGCAGAAAACACAGAAAACGGAAGCUUUACAACACUCAUGAAAACAAACAUAAGCAAAUAUGCUGUGGGCAAUGCUGGAUGGCCAGCAUUAUUUCCAGCACAACAGUGUCCUGAAAUGCAGAGCUGCACUUUUGCCUAAAGGAGUGAUUGGCAACUAUUUAUUCACUUAUAUGGAAGAAAAGAAGGAGUACAGUCAGAGACAUCGCUGCAAAGGGGCUAAAAUGACUCCCUGCCCUCGGUGACCUCAGCCUCCAAGAAUCAAGCCUCCUCCUAUCUGCAUAGACCAUAGUGGUAUCUGUUUCUUGGUCACACUCGAGCAUCACACAGAAUGCACCAACAUUUUAUUUUGCCUAGCAACCUCUCCCCCAAAACUGGCAAAUCAAUUGGACAUCUCUAAAGAAAGUUAGAAAGCAAAAAGUGGAGACAAUUUUCUAAAGCUUAUUAGAGGCAUAUACAGACAAGCCACUGUUGCUAUAGAUGCUUAAUCACUGUUGCUAAGCAAUCAGAAGAAGGAAUGCUGACCACCCCACCUGGGACUCGGGACGCAAGCCUCCUAGAGCAGCAGGAAAAAAGAAGAAGAAACUCCUUGUGGUUGCUACUAGCCUGAUGCUGGAUGGAGAUGAAUAGUCUGCAGGUAUUCUGGGAUGGUACAGAGCAUAGCAGACAAGACGGCAACUUGCCAAAGACAAGUGGAGUGGGACAUAAGCAUCCCAGAAUCAUCUUUUGAAACUGAUUCAUGAGGAAGGAAGGAAGCCAUUGUAAUACAAUGCCUCCCAAUCCUGUCCUAGCUGGAUAGUCCAGGAGGAUACCAUAGUGUAAUGGCAUGGACUGCAGCCUACCUUGUGAGCAGGAAGAGAAGCAAAGAAACCAGCCAAGCCAACACCUCUUUCUUCUCAACUUCACCAUUGCUCCCCAUGUGACUAUCCUUAUUUUGUUCUGGCUCCCUCCGCUAACCAGCCCUUUAUCCUUCUGGAUUUGAACUGGCCCAACCUACUUCCAAUACUGGGUAGAGUGGUAUGGCACUUAGGCAUGGGCUGAAUUACAAGGCCUCAGACAAAACAAUAGAUUAUGCUUUUACUGCAGGACUUGGUAGUGCAACAAGUUAAAACAGUUUUCGAGAAAAACUUUUUUGACAAAAGCUAAUUUUACAGUUUAAAUGAGAGCAAAUAAAACAAAUAAUAAAGAUAUCCAACAAUACCUGUUCUAGUCUGUUUCCACAACCAGACCAACAAUCUUUCACAUCCUUCUGGGUCCCUUUGGGGUCCUCUCCUGAUUUCUUCCUCACGCAGUUCUUAAGUUGGAGUUCUUUAAGUUUCUGACUCCACAACCUUCUAACUAACCUAUUUUCUAACUUGGCUUAUAUACAAUAUUUUCACUCUCCCUCACAAUCUUUUAGCCAAUGAGAAGGAGAGUAGUGUCUUGGUUAAAUUUCUAUUUCCCCUUAAUUGCCAGAUUUCUAUGAUGAACUUUUGACCCUCCUCUGUACAACAUCCCACUAUAAAAAACUUCAUUAGCAAAACAUCCACACUUAAACGUUUAACUUUCCUGUGAACUUUUGACUCACCUAUGCAAGCAAAAAGCAACUAUUUUACAACCAAAAAUCAAACACCAGAUAGCUGAAAGUCCUAUUAUGCCACACAUGCUCAAUAGUACUGAAUGGCAUUUACAAAUUCAGAAGAAUUAACAGGCUUGCAAUUCCCUUGUUCAUCUCUUGGAAUCCAUCAUCCAGAAGGAUGACUAAAGUAACUAGAUUAAUAUGUAUCUAUAUAAUCACCAUAUACCUUGAGCUGAGUCUCCAGCAUGUAUUCAAGGACCAUGACUAGAUAUAAUAAAUGUGAUCCAGGUUGAUCAUUGUUCAGUUAGGUUAAGUGAUAGACUGUUUACAUAGAGACUAACCAUGGCUUCCCACUGGGACUGUACUCUCUCAAGUCCAUGUUUAUUCCUCAGCCCUUAUCUGGCUAUUUUAAUGAUCCAGGACAGUCAAGAUUCGGCACACAUGUGGUAAGGCAUCUAUAACAUCACAGGGUGCUACCCCUGUGCCAGGGUGACUGCCAAUUCAUUGGUUAGAGGCAGUUAGUUCAUGAAUCCCAAUUAGGCCAUUAAGAACACCAAGUGGUAACAGUCUAGUCGCGUUUAUUGCUGAGUACGCAUAUAGAAGUAAGCAUAAAAUAUCUCACAUUCCUUGACAGCAGUGUUUAGGAGAUCCCCUGGGGGCAGCUGGUUGCCACUCUAUCAGUCACAGCCUGGGCAGAGCUGUAGCUGUGCAGGGUGAUCUCUCUCCUUCUCUCUGAUCACACCUGGAGGUCUCCACCACUAUGCUUCUCUGCUGGUCUGAUCCCUGCUCUCUCCGAUCUAUAUUUCUGUUUCUCCCCAGCUGUCUCUUCCUCCCUGUCUAACAGGCUGCUAGAUAUAGUCUACCCUCCUUUAAGGGAGUCAGCAGACAUGUGCCUGCUAGACUUCUGCUAGCCUCAUGCACAGUAGACAUGCCCAGGCUCCUGUUAAAGAGUUCACAGCUUUCUACUGCACCUACAGCUUUUUCUCCACUUAACUACAUCCAUCGCCUUAUACAGCAUGGAUGGACUUAAAUAUUACAAGAUCCCCCAUAGACCCUAAAUAUAGCAUUUGAGAGGUAAGCUGUGAAAUGUCACCUACACCUCCUUGUCUGUACAACGCUCUUUGGCAAUACAGCAUCUUUAUACUGUUUACAUCUACAGACUGCACAAGUGGAAAAGUACCCUUAUGAAAUUGACAAGAAAGAACUCCAGAAGCAACUACAACAGAUUCCUUUAUAAGAAUGUCAGAGAAGAACCAAGCAAUAUUAUCUUCAAAAUGCCUUGCCAAAUGGUCACAGUAGGCCUCACUUAACCAUGGCUAUGAGAUACAUAACAUCAGUGCACUAACAUUAACCAUAAAUAAGACCAAUCAAGGUCUCUUGUCAUCAAGAUUUCUUAACCAAUUUCAACCCUUGAUUUCAAAUCCUGGUAAAGUCAUGAAACCAGUUGGCCUUGGCUAUAUUGAAAGCUGAUGCAGCCAUGUCUUUUAACUGCUGUUAAGACAACAGCAGGGAAUUCACUCCUGUAAGGGAACACACAAUCCUUGGUCUCUCUUCCAGUCUCUUAAUGAUGGUUUGCAGAGAGCCAGUGGUUCCAUGUGAUAGAGAAGCAACACAAAUGUGAAUGUAGACUCUGCAGGAGCCAUUGCAAAACAAACAUUGUGAAGGGAAACAUGACCUGCAAUUUGUUAGGAAAGGCAAAUAUGUUGCACCAUAUCAGUGUUGGUGUAUUCUUUUUUCUGUAAUCGCAUUUGUCUGGAAAUAUA
Long non-coding RNA from Rhineura floridana, 3374 nucleotides. RefSeq lists it as uncharacterized. The transcript has 4 exons. NCBI's taxonomy places the organism in Eukaryota, Metazoa, Chordata, Lepidosauria, Squamata, Rhineuridae. The record is from RefSeq and is a predicted model, not a curated record.